Long non-coding RNA from Brachypodium distachyon (stiff brome), 855 nucleotides. RefSeq lists it as uncharacterized. The record is from RefSeq and is a predicted model, not a curated record. Lineage: Eukaryota; Viridiplantae; Streptophyta; Magnoliopsida; Poales; Poaceae. The transcript has 2 exons.
UAUCUCUCCCUCUGCCCUCCCCAUCUCUCACCCUGUCUACCUCCUACACGAACAGCCCUAUCUCCUUCCUCACCAGCGCCACCGCCCCUCCUCCCUCACUGUGAUUCCCUCUCCUCCUCCCACACCGGCGGCCGGCGACGGCAGAGCGCGUAUGGAGGAGCAGAAGCGACGGCAGCGCACGCGUGGAGGAGCAGCGCCGGCAGCAGCACGUGUAGGAGCAGCAGCGCGGGUGAAGGAGCAGCGGCGGCAGCAGCACGUGGAGGAGCAGCACGGCGCCUGCAGCACCGGCGGCGGUGCUUGGAGGAGCAGCAUCGUGCGGGGCCUGGAGCGGAGCAGCGUUGCCGGAUUUGCCGACCUGCGGCCUCCUCGACCAACGCCUGGAGGAGAAGCGGCUCGCGGGACCUCGAGCAGCGGCGGCGCGUGGCACUUGGAGGAGCAGCCGACGGCCAUGGCGCCGAUUGCGGCCGCCAAGACGCUGGAUCCGGCCGCCCUAACAAUUAUGCCAACAAUUUGUGUGCGAUUAGAACAAAAUAAACAUGGCUAGCAUUAUAUGCUAGCCAUGAGUUUUUUUUUAAUUAUGGCCACAACUCAUCAGUGUCGGUCACUGCUUGUGCCCGCCACUGAUGCUGAUGUUCAGUACAUUAGUGACAGGGAGUUAGUGACGGGUGGCCCGCCCGUUACUGAUAUGCUUUUUCGACCGUUAAUGAUAACCGUUUCUGUAGUAGUGGAAGGAGAUGGGAGGGAGAGAUCUCGAUCGGAAGAGAAGGGAAAAUCAGAGUGGGGGAGGGAAUGGAGAAAUCGAUCGAGUGAGCCUGCAGAUCUGUUUCCCCUAAUUAAAUCGUGCUUGGAUUACAA